This 1150-nucleotide ribosomal RNA is filed under the name uncultured Dinobryon. Its description in RNAcentral is "partial Eukaryotic large subunit ribosomal RNA". It matches the Rfam family "Eukaryotic large subunit ribosomal RNA", at positions 851 to 1993 of the family's 3401-position model. The record is from RNAcentral. Lineage: Eukaryota; Chrysophyceae; Chromulinales.
GCCAGAGGAAACUCUGGUGGAGGCUCGUAGCGAUACUGACGUGCAAAUCGUUCGUCGAACUUGGGUAUAGGGGCGAAAGACUAAUCGAACCAUCUAGUAGCUGGUUCCCUCCGAAGUUUCCCACAGGAUAGCUUGAGCGCACACAGUACGGUUUUGUCAGGUAAAGCGAAUGAUUAGAGGCCUUGGGGCUGAAACAGCCUUAACCUAUUCUCAAACUUUAAAUAUGUAAGAAGCCCUUGUCACUUAAUUGGACGUGGGCAUGCGAAUGAGAGUUUCUAGUGGGCCAUUUUUGGUAAGCAGAACUGGCGAUGCGGGAUGAACCGAACGCCGCGCUAAGGUACCCAAGUGUCCGCUCAUCAGAGACCACAAAAGGCGUUGGUACCUCCAGACAGCAGGACGGUGGCCAUGGAAGUCGGAACCCGCUAAGGAGUGUGUAACAACUCACCUGCCGAAGGUACUAGCCCUGAAAAUGGAUGGCGCUCAAGCGGACCACCGAUGCGCGGCCGCCGGCGCGAGUGCGAGGCGCCGGCGAGUAGGAGGGCGCGGGGGUCGCGGCGCAGCCUUGGGCGUGAGCUCGGGUGAAGCGUCCUCCGGUGCAGAUCUUGGUGGUAGUAGCAAGUAUUCAAAUGGGAACUUUGAAGACUGAAGUGGAGAAAGGUUCCAUGUGAACAGCAGUUGGACAUGGGUGAGCCGACCCUAAGAGACAGGAGAACUCCGCCGAACGCGGCCGCUUCCGUCGGCCCGUCCGUCGAAAGGGAAUCGGGUUAACAUUCCCGAGCCAGUGCGUGGAUGGUGGGCGGCGACGCGAACGAUCCCGGAGACGCCUGCGGGAGCCCUGGGAAGAGUUCUCUUUUCUUCUUGACUGUCUUGUCCGCCCUGGAAUCGGUUUAGCCGGCGAGAGGGCCACGCGGCAGGCAAAGCACCUUACGUCUUGAGGUGUCCGGCGCGCUCCCGACGGCCCGUGAAAAUCCGGGGGAGCGUUUCGUUUUCACGCCUGGUCGUACUCAUAACCGCAUCAGGUCUCCAAGGUGAGCAGCCUCUAGUCGAUAGAGCAAUGUAGGUAAGGGAAGUCGGCAAAAUGGUUCCGCAACCUCGGGAGAAGGAAUGGCUCUGAAGGCUGGGCGCAGGGGUCGUCGGUCCGAGGCUCGCU